Molecule: ribosomal RNA, 1189 nt
Filed under: Aliarcobacter butzleri
Lineage: Bacteria; Pseudomonadati; Campylobacterota; Epsilonproteobacteria; Campylobacterales; Arcobacteraceae
Description: bacterial SSU rRNA
Rfam family: Bacterial small subunit ribosomal RNA
Source: RNAcentral
GUGCUUAACNCAUGCAAGUCGAACGAGAACGGAUUAUAGCUUGCUAUAAUUGUCAGCUAAGUGGCGCACGGGUGAGUAAUGUAUAGGUAAUAUGCCUCUUACUAAGGGAUAACAAUUGGAAACGAUUGCUAAUACCUUAUAUUCCUUUUUAUCAAAAGAUAAAAAGGGAAAGAUUUAUUGGUAAGAGAUUAGCCUGUAUUGUAUCAGUUAGUUGGUGGGGUAAUGGCCUACCAAGACGAUGACGCAUAACUGGUUUGAGAGGAUGAUCAGUCACACUGGAACUGAGACACGGUCCAGACUCCUACGGGAGGCAGCAGUGGGGAAUAUUGCACAAUGGACGAAAGUCUGAUGCAGCAACGCCGCGUGGAGGAUGACACAUUUCGGUGCGUAAACUCCUUUUAUAUAAGAAGAUAAUGACGGUAUUAUAUGAAUAAGCACCGGCUAACUCCGUGCCAGCAGCCGCGGUAAUACGGAGGGUGCAAGCGUUACUCGGAAUCACUGGGCGUAAAGAGCGUGUAGGCGGAUUGAUAAGUUUGAAGUGAAAUCCUAUAGCUUAACUAUAGAACUGCUUUGAAAACUGUUAAUCUAGAAUGUGGGAGAGGUAGAUGGAAUUUCUGGUGUAGGGGUAAAAUCCGUAGAGAUCAGAAGGAAUACCGAUUGCGAAGGCGAUCUACUGGAACAAUAUUGACGCUGAGACGCGAAAGCGUGGGGAGCAAACAGGAUUAGAUACCCUGGUAGUCCACGCCCUAAACGAUGUACACUAGUUGUUGUGAGGCUCGACCUUGCAGUAAUGCAGUUAACACAUUAAGUGUACCGCCUGGGGAGUACGGUCGCAAGAUUAAAACUCAAAGGAAUAGACGGGGACCCGCACAAGCGGUGGAGCAUGUGGUUUAAUUCGACGAUACACGAAGAACCUUACCUGGACUUGACAUAGUAAGAAUGAUUUAGAGAUAGAUUAGUGUCUGCUUGCAGAAACUUGCAUACAGGUGCUGCACGGCUGUCGUCAGCUCGUGUCGUGAGAUGUUGGGUUAAGUCCCGCAACGAGCGCAACCCUCGUCCUUAGUUGCUAACAGUUCGGCUGAGAACUCUAAGGAGACUGCCUACGCAAGUAGGAGGAAGGUGAGGAUGACGUCAAGUCAUCAUGGCCCUUACGUCCAGGGCUACACACGUGCUACAAUGGGGUAUACAA